AGCGCUCAGUGAGCUGGCCGUGGCUCAUCGCCGCCCCAAAACCUUCACUCAGGAAGGAGUCCCCGAGACCGGAGCCUCAGUUCAAGAAGGCUGGGAGGAGAAGUUCAGGAGGCAGCCAGCCAGCCAACCUGGAGAUCCUGGAGCAGGAGCGUCCAGCUCAGAGCCGGAGGCCACCAUCAGCGAGCUGUGGAGACGAGCAGCGCCGGACACCCUGCAGGGAGACGCUCAGCCUGGGAAGCUGUCCCGACAGUCUCCUGAGCUUUCCAGAUGUGAGAGAGCACCUUCAGACUCACCGCCGAGCCGAGCCCCGGCCAGCGUCUCCAGCUCCCAGCUGCUCCUCUGUGAGGAGCACCGGGUCCAUGAGGAGCACCGGGUCCAUGAGGAGCACCGAGUCCAUGAGGAGCGACCAGUCGAUGGGAAACCCCAUCCUGUUCCAGAACUCACCAGCAUCCUGUGAUUCCAAGCAGGACUGACCUUCACCGCAGCUCCGAGACGAGGAGCUGCAGCUCGUUGACAAGUUCAAGAUCAGCUUCUUUUACAAAAUCACCGUCUCAAAACUACAACCCUGAAAAACAGGAUGACACCCCCUCACUGAGCACUCAACAACAUGUAGCUAAUGUUCUCCUCCAGCUAACAACAUGUAGCUAAUGUUCUCCUACAGUUAACAUGUAGCUAAUGUUCUCCUGUAGCUAACAACAUGUAGCUACUGUUCUCCUCCAGCUAACAACAUGUAGCUACUGUUCUCCUACGGCUAACGACAUGUCAGCUAAAGUUUUCCCAGCUGCUAGUUUUUCCAGCUAACAGCAUGUAGAUAAACUAAUGUUUGACUGAGGAGUGAUCAGCUGGAAGAGCGAAGAAUUACAUUUUAGAUGACCAUCCCUUUAAGUCUGAUUAUAAAUUAGCCAUUAUGUGUCUAAACUGUUGCUGUGGUUAGUAAAGUGGAUCCCCUUAAAGCCAAGUUUGUGUGUGUGUGUGUGUGUGUGUGUGUGUGUGUGGUGCCUGUUCUCCAUUUAUGUUCUCCAGUCUGUUAGUAAGAGGAACACAUGACAGAACUUCUGUAUUAUAAAGCAAUAAAUCUUUGAGAAUCUAUUUUGGAUAACGGGCCCUGUGUUGGUUUCUUUUCUUGAGGCUGAAAGAGGAAAUGAUUCCAGAAACUUCCUCAUUUCACAACAACAGAGCCGAGUUUACGACAGAGACUCGGAGGUGGAGGCACACACAUCUGAAGUCAGGGUCAGCGUGGAUUCAUCGUGAAGGAUCAACUCAAACCCAGCGGCCUGGUUUGGUUUUGUUGUGUGUUUUUUUAGAGCCACAGAUCCAGACUGGAAGGCAAAAGGAAUCAGGCAGUGAUGGAUACAAGUUCAGGAAAACUGCAAACAGCCAAGCAGCAGAGUCGGCGCACACCACCAACCUUUUCCUGCACCGCCAGAAAAGCUGCAGCCACACCGAACAUGCAGAGACUUCGGCUUGAAGCAAGCUACAGGAGCAGGACACACAGUGACCCAUCUGCUGGAGUUCGACCCAGUUUCUGGAAUGAAGUCCAAACGUCUUCAGACGCUCAUCAAGAUUUAAUCCCUUCACUUCGCUGUCACUCUCCCUUGGAGUUGGAAGAGGCGGCGGCUGAAUGCUGCUGCCUGUCUGACAUUCCUGUGGAGUCAUGAUGGCAUCGCCUCGUGUUUUCCAUUUAUAUGGCAGUUUAACAUUUUAAAAAUCAUUAUCAUGAUACUGAUUUCAAACAUACUGCACUGCUCUGUAUGCCUUUUUCUUCAUUUAAAAAAAAAAAAACUUUUUUCAUGAGGAAAUUACCAGAAACUGAACUGUGAUCAUGAUGUAGCAAUUUCCUACGUGAUUGUCACUAUCUUUAUUAAAUACCGUAUUUAUAUUAUUUACAACGCUAUCAAUAUGAUACACUCUGCAUAAGGCAUAGCAGGUUUCACUUGUUUUAUUACUGCCUUUAUCUGUUGAAUUGUCCUUUUCUGUAUCAAACACCUCAACAUUUAAAUAGAAAAACAGCUUUGUGGAUCAGGUUCUGAAUCCCCACCUUGUCUGGAUGUGGAAGAAUGUGUUUAACUGGAUGAAUGCAAAGCCGUGUGUUGAUUGAUGAGACAUAAUUCACUGACAUCACAGGGUUCUUGCACCUUUUCUUAAGUCAAAGUCCAGCACUCCACGAGCGUUUCCAAGCUGCAUUUUCAAGCUUUUCCAGCUGUGAUAAAUUAAAUAUACUCAGAAUGAUUAUUACACUUCUUCAUCACUUUA
Long non-coding RNA from Myripristis murdjan (pinecone soldierfish), 2253 nucleotides. RefSeq lists it as uncharacterized. NCBI's taxonomy places the organism in Eukaryota, Metazoa, Chordata, Actinopteri, Holocentriformes, Holocentridae. The transcript is spliced from 5 exons. The record is from RefSeq and is a predicted model, not a curated record.